AUUAUUUUUCGGGUUAACAUUAAGCUGACACGUACCCUUUUUAAUUCUUUGUUUCAUGCUGCCUCUUUUUUGUGUGCAGUUUGGUGUUACAUAGCGAUUUUGAUUGUAGAUCUUCCUUUACUUGUGAACUGUUUGGGUGGUUUGGUGGUGUAGCCAUAGCUGGUGCAUGAUUGGAGCGGUUGUGGACCAUGCGGUUGUGCGCUGGAAGUCUUCCAGGAUGCCACGAUUUGUCACCGCUCAGAUUAAUCCCCCAUCCUCUCAGCCUUAUCCAUUUACGGGCUCCAUCCCUGCACUCAUUAUUUUCUCCUCUCUCUCUAAAUCGCCAUGGAAGGCAGAAGAUCAGCGGGAGGAGGCGCAUCGAGGGAGGCUCCGAGAGGCUACAGCCGACGAGCAUGCCGCGGGAGGCUCCGCUAGGCCGUCGGCGACGAGCGUGCUGAGGCACGUCACAGGAGGAUCCAUGGGGACGCCUCCGACGAGCGCGAGGAGAGCUGCGCUAGGCCGCCGUCGAAUCCAUCAUCGAGCAUUAGCCGUGAGGAGGAGGCGCAUCGCGGGGAGGACUUCGCCAGCAGGACACCAUUGACUCCCCUACGCCGCUGCCGACAAGCUCGAGGAGGAGGCGCGACGCGGGGAGAGCUGCACAAGGUGUUGACUCCACCACGCCGCCGCUAACGAGCUCGAGGAGGAGGAUGUCGCCGCUGACAAGAACAUGGAGGCAGCACAUGACAAGGUGGGGAGGACUUCGCCAGGACGUCAUCGACUCCGCCAUGCCGCCGCCGAUGAGCUCGAGGAGGAGGUGUGAUGCGGGGAGGGCUGCAGAAGGCCACUAUGGACUCCACUACGCGGCUGCUAACGAGCUCGCGGAGCAGGCCGCCGCCACCGAGAAGAGGAGGCAGCACAUGACAAGGCCGGUGCUUGGCGUGAUUACUACAUGGACUAUAAGCUACACCGUCGAUCGAUGAUUGCUGCCAAGGCCCGAGAUGAGGAGCACGUGAACUUGAUUGGCCCCAUUCUGAGGCCUUGAAUUGUGUUCUGCCAGCCACCUGGUAUGUUGAAAUUCAUGCAUAUGGCAAGAAUUACCUUUAUUUAUUAUUUCUAUCGACCAUCAACAUGAGAAUCUUGUAAUGUGUACUGGUUUUACUCGAGAGAUGGUAAUUUCUCUGUAGAUAAGUAGUGAACGUCCCAUGACUUUUUGCGUUUUUUUCCAUCAAAGGAAUAUAUGUAUCCUACAAGUCUGGAACAUUAAUUAUUUUUAUGCUAAAUUAGCGGAAUCAUUUGGGUCUAAGCUUUGUACAACUGCAACUCCUUGUGAGUGUUGGAAUAUGCCCCACUUUCGGCGCGCUGCCUGUGGCUGAGGAUUACUUCGAUGAGCGGAAGCUGUGCAUGAAAUUCAAUCCCCUUUACCAGUUAGAUAUGAUGCACAACGCCGUUGGGGGUAUGAUUUAAAAUUAUUGUGUCAGAAAUGCUAAUAAUGAUGUUGACUGGUCCAUGAUCUUUUGUUGGUUUGUAUGUCAAAUAAUGUCUCAACUUAUUGACAUGUUGUUUAUGUGACCAGACCAACCUGUAACAGCGUAUGUGACCAGUAAUACAGUGGUUCAAUUUCAAAGGCCAACAAUAUCGUAUGUGACCUAUUACAAAUAUUUCAUCCAUAUUUUCCUUCCUGGUAUUAUUAUCAGAGUAGAAAAGCUAGCACAAAGAAAGAUGUUACUUGAUUCUAAGAAGGCUGUUGUUUCUAGAUUGUUGGUGUUCAUUAAGGUAAGGAAGCAUGCCUCCUUUUUGUGGUAGAAAAUUUUGACUCAUUAUUUCUAUGGGAAAGAUUCAAUGGUCUGCCUUUUUUUUCUUAUUUUCCUAGGUUUAGAGUUGUAUUCGUUUCUUGCACACAAAUAAUAGCCUGUGAGGUGAGCUACCUUUUGGUAAAUACAUCAUGGUGUCUAUCUAUCGUUCUGGAGGUGGUAUGAUUUACUUUAGAAGCCAGUCUUCAAAUAUCAUUAAGUUUGAUCACACGCAUCACUGUUUUAUCAUGCACCCGAAUCUUGCAUUCAACUAGAUAACCAUUGCUCUAUAUUGAACUAACAUUUUCUUUCAUAAGGUUAAUAUGUCUGCCAGUAUGACUUAAUGGAGAUUGAGGAUUUUGACAAUUAUUUAGUUCUGCUGUAACUUUGUUAUCUAAUCUUUUAAGAAAUAUAUUUGGAGGCCGUGUUUAAAUCUCUACCACUAUUACAUAGAUGGAGUUUCGGGAAUAUUACGAUUCGGUUUUGUUGUGGUUGUGGUUUUAAAGGCGUCGCGUUGGCGUCGCCUCAGCGUCCAGGCGCUCCCCUUCCGCCUUAGAAAAACGCCCGCCUUAGGCGCCUAGGCGCCCAAGGCGUCCGCCUAGACGUCGCCUAAGCUUCAGAGCCCCCCCUUCGCCUUAGGACGCCUUGGCGCCUUUAAAACCAUGGUUGUGGUUGCAUGUUAUCAUGACUUUCAAAGAAACAAUUUAGUAGGUUUUGCUUCCAGGGAGUAUCUGAUUUGGUGCAUCUGGAGCGGUUUUGCAUAGCCUGGUGGUCAGCCUAAACUAAAUAUACUGUUCUAUGUAUUUAAAUCUUCAUUGAGAAUACUAGGCUUGCUUUUAAGUUGGAAAUCUUGCUAACUUGUGCAAGUUUGAUAUUAAGAACGAUGCUUAGCUUUUCUUAUAGAAUAAUCCAACAAGUAAAAUUUACCAAUCCAGUGGUACUUACUCAUAUGGCACCCUAUAACUCUGGCAUGCUGGUCUAUUGUCUGUAAUACGUAGCAAAAUAAAUUAGCAAGGGUCCUUUGUUAGGUAUCUCACAUCUAUCCAUUGUGCUUUUACAAUUACAAGAUUUCUAUAUUUAGAUUUUGAGCGUACACUACGCUCUCCAUACUUGGGGAGAUUCUAUUUUGCAUGCAAUAAGAUUGGGGACAAUUCAUCUUUGUUUCUAUAGUUUCCUCGAGUUGCAUCUUCAAAAUAUAUAUGGUCUACAUGGUCUACCACUGUAUUUGUGAUCUACAUUUUGCACUCAUAAAUUAUGCUGGCUAAUACGAAUACUUCAUUCAUCCAUACAAAAAAUUCGUCCGUUGUUGGUCAGGGACAUCACUGCCUAUUAGUAAGUACAUAAUAUUUUUACAUAGAGUGGUGCUGGACUACUGGGAAAUGGAUGAUGACCUUUGAGCCUCAGGUAAUCUUGGACAUUGUUUCCAUAUUCUGAUUUGACACGGAUUUCUAAACAAUGAUUGCUACUUUGAAUUAGAUUAGGUAGUCAAUUACAUUUUGUUUUCUUAGUAGUGUUAGAACCUUAAAAAUUGCAUUGCCUUUGGUUUUUACCUUUAAACGGCAGGUGCAUAUGAACGAACUAGACCUACCUAUCUGCCAUCCAUGCAUGUAAGCGCCCUUUUUUCUUUCUUUUUUAUUCUGCCUACAACAGAGCUGACCAUGCAUUGUUGGGUCCCUUUCUCAUGUGCGCAUCUGCUUAGUCCUUAGACUGCCCUCAAUAACUCAAUUGUGCAUCUGCUAAGUGUUCUUUCUUGACUCUUUGCCGUUAAUGAUACACAAUAGUAAUGGAGGUAUGAUUGAUUAAUUCGUACAAUCGUACCAGGGUUACAUUUUUCUUGGACAAGGAGAAGUGCCGGUCACCAAUUCUGUUUCAGCUCAAGCACAAUAUACAUAGUGAAUUACAUAGGCUGCAACUUUUUCUGGAUUUAGAGCAGCACAAAUAGGGCAUUGGCUACUGCUAUGAGCUGGACAAUUGUAUCUAAAGAUAGGCUUUGAAUCAUUGCUAUUGGGGGCUUGAUGUGCACAGUCAGGACAAACCAAACUGAGGUCUCUUUUUUUGUAAAAUAUUGCAGGCUGUAGUUGAGCAAGAUCCUGAAAGAAGGCAAGGACACUCUAAUUUCCCACAGUCACCUGUUGCACGGAAAUGGAGUUUGUUGAAGCUCUAGGGAGGCUAAGAGUUCUUUUUUUUGGGUAGUGAGGGAUUCUCGGUAAGCAAAGUGACUAGCAGAGUAUUUUUCAUGAACUAUAUGAACUCUUAUUUUCACAGCUGAAGGCACGAACCAUAUGUAUUGGUAGAUGACA
This is a long non-coding RNA of Lolium perenne, 4069 nucleotides long. RefSeq lists it as uncharacterized. NCBI's taxonomy places the organism in Eukaryota, Viridiplantae, Streptophyta, Magnoliopsida, Poales, Poaceae. The record is from RefSeq and is a predicted model, not a curated record.